CAUUUAAAGUGGUACGCGAGCUGGGUUUAGAACGUCGUGAGACAGUUCGGUCCCUAUCUGCCGUGGGCGCUGGAGAACUGAGGGGGGCUGCUCCUAGUACGAGAGGACCGGAGUGGACGCAUCACUGGUGUUCGGGUUGUCAUGCCAAUGGCACUGCCCGGUAGCUAAAUGCGGAAGAGAUAAGUGCUGAAAGCAUCUAAGCACGAAACUUGCCCCGAGAUGAGUUCUCCCUGACCCUUUAAGGGUCCUGAAGGAACGUUGAAGACGACGACGUUGAUAGGCCGGGUGUGUAAGCGCAGCGAUGCGUUGAGCUAACCAGUACUAAUGAACCGUGAGGCUUAACCUU
Molecule: ribosomal RNA, 346 nt
Filed under: Salmonella enterica
Lineage: Bacteria; Pseudomonadati; Pseudomonadota; Gammaproteobacteria; Enterobacterales; Enterobacteriaceae
Description: partial 23S ribosomal RNA
Rfam family: Bacterial large subunit ribosomal RNA
Source: RNAcentral